Molecule: long non-coding RNA, 204 nt
Filed under: Ananas comosus (pineapple)
Lineage: Eukaryota; Viridiplantae; Streptophyta; Magnoliopsida; Poales; Bromeliaceae
Description: long non-coding RNA (ACOM_LNC026704)
Source: RNAcentral
GAAUAUGCAAAAACAACUACAACGACACAUGCCGACUAUCUCUAUAUACUUAGAAGACAAACCGACGAUUAACCCACCUCCAAAGCUAAUCCCAAUCCGGCGCGACGUUGAGAACGGCGGAAUCGCACCCUCGCCCGGUCUCCUCGCGACGCUACGACGAUGAACGCGCGCUCGAACGACACUGUGGCGCGACGUCGACGAAAC